Molecule: ribosomal RNA, 705 nt
Filed under: soil fungal sp. DM2-368
Lineage: Eukaryota; Fungi
Description: eukaryotic LSU rRNA
Rfam family: Eukaryotic large subunit ribosomal RNA
Source: RNAcentral
AAUUUGCAGAGGAUGCUUCGGGAGUGGCCCCCAUCUAAGUGCCCUGGAACGGGCCGUCAUAGAGGGUGAGAAUCCCGUCUGGGAUGGGGUGCCCACGCCCGUGUGAAGCUCCUUCGACGAGUCGAGUUGUUUGGGAAUGCAGCUCUAAAUGGGUGGUAAAUUUCAUCUAAAGCUAAAUACUGGCCGGAGACCGAUAGCGCACAAGUAGAGUGAUCGAAAGAUGAAAAGCACUUUGAAAAGAGAGUUAAACAGCACGUGAAAUUGUUGAAAGGGAAGCGCUUGCGACCAGACUCGCCCACGGGGUUCAGCCGGCAUUCGUGCCGGUGUACUUCCCCGCGGGCGGGCCAGCGUCGGUUUGGGCGGCCGGUCAAAGGCCCUUGGAAUGUACCGCCCCCCGGGGCGGCUUAUAGCCAAGGGUGCCAUGCGGCCAGCCCGGACCGAGGAACGCGCUUCGGCUCGGACGCUGGCAUAAUGGUCGUAAGCGACCCGUCUUGAAACACGGACCAAGGAGUCUAACAUCUACGCGAGUGUUCGGGUGUCAAACCCGUGCGCGCAGUGAAAGCGAACGGAGGUGGGAACCCCUCGGGGCGCACCAUCGACCGAUCCUGAUGUCUUCGGAUGGAUUUGAGUAAGAGCGUAGCUGUUGGGACCCGAAAGAUGGUGAACUAUGCCUGAAUAGGGCGAAGCCAGAGGAAACUCUGGUGG